RNAcentral lists this transfer RNA (69 nucleotides) under Mastomys natalensis (African soft-furred rat). Its description in RNAcentral is "tRNA-His". It matches the Rfam family "tRNA". From Rfam's summary of the family: Transfer RNA (tRNA) molecules are approximately 80 nucleotides in length. Their secondary structure includes four short double-helical elements and three loops (D, anti-codon, and T loops). Further hydrogen bonds mediate the characteristic L-shaped molecular structure. tRNAs have two regions of fundamental functional importance: the anti-codon, which is responsible for specific mRNA codon recognition, and the 3' end, to which the tRNAs corresponding amino acid is attached (by aminoacyl-tRNA synthetases). tRNAs cope with the degeneracy of the genetic code in two manners: having more than one tRNA (with a specific anti-codon) for a particular amino acid; and 'wobble' base-pairing, i.e. permitting non-standard base-pairing at the 3rd anti-codon position. The record is from RNAcentral. Lineage: Eukaryota; Metazoa; Chordata; Mammalia; Rodentia; Muridae.
GUAGAUAUAGUUUACAAAAAACAUUAGACUGUGAAUCUAAUAACAGGAGACUAACACUCCUUGUCUACC